UUGUUUUUUGCAUGUUUCUUUCUAAGUCUAAGUUAAUACAUUAAAUAACAUUGAAAUGUUAAAAACACAUUAAUAUUUAAUGGACAUAGCAUUUACUCUCUUCUUCAAAAAUGACAUACAGUAGUUUUAAUCCAGUGAAGCAGGCAGUUUUUCUGUCAUCCUGUUUUGUCUUUUCAUUUUGUGUGUGUUUUUUCAACAUGUUUGAGUGGGAUUGUAUGACAUUUCUUUCUAAACAAUAUAACACCUAAUUUCUUUGUUUAAACGAGAGCUGAACCUGGACUGAUUUGUCAGACCUGUUCUUUUCAAUGAAAAACUUUGUGAAUCAGUCUCACUUUCCUCUUUCACUGACGCUGUGCCCCUCCUCCUCUCCACCCUUCCUCCACCUCUCGCUGAUCGCUCUCUGUCUGCUGUUUUUCAAACUUGGAGUUUUUUCUAAAUACAAAGCCUUUCAACUGUAAAAUAAACUGUACAUUUCUGAAUAUAUCAUCACAUACGGACACAGAAGGACCUCUGGAUUAAUGUUGGAUUUUCAUGGUGGGUUAAUUUUUUUUAUUUAUUUUUCUGCAGUUCAGAGCGGAGCAGAGAUGCUGUUUUCAGCUGCUGCCCUGCACAACUCUGUGGCCACCGAACGCGCUGACUAUCUGAUCUCUGCUGUUUGCGAUUUGAUAUAAAGAAAAUGGGAAAUAUACUUCUUAUUACUUUAGUUGUUGGUUUAAAAUGCCAAAACUAUGACUCUGUAAACUUGAAAUAUGAUCGAAUUGGUACAUUAUCAGCAAGAUUUGAGUUCAUUUUUCAGAAAUUCUGUGCUGGCUGGUACAGUCAGUUUGAACUCGAGAGCCGGGUGCAAAUGUGCAGUACCAGGCAGGGCCAUAUACAUAUAUAUGUACACCUGGGGCAACUUGGGGAUUAAGUGCUUACAUAAAGGCACCUUAGGUUUUCUUGUCACCUCAGGUAAUUGAACCUAUGACCUUCGAGUCAUGCAUCUUCUUCUCUAAGAUAUAUAAAAUAAAUAGGAUGCAGUUGUCAUUGAUGUUGUACAUGUCAGGUUUGUGUGUAAAAUUAACAUUUGUAUUGUUACUGAAUCUGAGUUAUGCCUUUUGUAUG
This is a long non-coding RNA of Thalassophryne amazonica, 1104 nucleotides long. RefSeq lists it as uncharacterized. The transcript has 3 exons. The record is from RefSeq and is a predicted model, not a curated record. NCBI's taxonomy places the organism in Eukaryota, Metazoa, Chordata, Actinopteri, Batrachoidiformes, Batrachoididae.